This is a long non-coding RNA of Daphnia pulicaria, 924 nucleotides long. RefSeq lists it as uncharacterized. Lineage: Eukaryota; Metazoa; Arthropoda; Branchiopoda; Diplostraca; Daphniidae. The transcript is spliced from 3 exons. The record is from RefSeq and is a predicted model, not a curated record.
CCAAGAAUUAUAUGGAACACAACAACGAGGAAAAACGCCAUUUCGAGAUUUCUCCAGAUGGAACCGAUCACAUUUGACAUGAAGGAUGCCCAAGGCUCGACCAAACAUCAUCUGGUGUUCGUAUUAAAAUAAUCGUGGACUAACAUUCCGGAACAGAAUUUCAAUCCGCAAUUGGAGCAAGUCAUCAACAACGACCAUUCGUCCAUUUCCAGUCUUCCGCUCAGCCGAGAGCUUUUUUUCAUCAAAUAAUACCCUUGGAUUCUUGAAGAUAUCGUGGUAUAGCCCUAAACAUAUUUUGAAGGCUCCUUUUAUUAAAAAAAAAGAAGUCUUACUGUAUAUUGUAAUGCGAUGCCCACAUGCCAUAAACCAACCCUGCCAGCCAACUGGCAGGAUCGAGAAACACGACCGGUUGCUUUCCCAGUGCGAUACCCGAAGCAAGACGAAAACAGUUAAAGCUAUCCAGCCUAUUUGGAGCAUUACUCGGUCGUCCAGCUGACCCAGAAAACGGCCAAGAAGAAGAGGAAAUUGAGCAGCGAUCUCCGCUCGAGUUGGAAACUUCGCGAAGCCGUCGGCAGUGCUGACGAGGACAGCGACGAAACGGCCACUUCGCUGAACUGUCAGACGUGUGGAUCACGCCACUUACGCCCGGUAGCCGUUUCCAGAGUACGUAUCUCAUUUGGAAGAAGCUGAAGUGCAAGAACGAUUAAAUAAUCGUAGUUUACCAGUGUCGUUGUGGAUUCACAUUUUAAAACCACUGUUGAAGAUUUGAAGAUGGUCUGGGACUCUGGGUGCGUUGGACUGAAAUAAGCCGCGGAUUUUUAUUUACUCUUCUGUUCAGUACGUUUCUCACCUUAUUUUGUUUUUUAAUCAAGAAUGUAAAAUUUAUCGUGACUGAUCCUGAACAAAGAAUAAAAGUUUUUGGCG